Molecule: long non-coding RNA, 506 nt
Organism: Andrographis paniculata
Lineage: Eukaryota; Viridiplantae; Streptophyta; Magnoliopsida; Lamiales; Acanthaceae
Exons: 2
Source: RefSeq, a predicted model, not a curated record
UCCUUUGGAAGGAGCGUCAACCGUGUGAUGAGGAUAAUGGACGGUGGAGAUUUCGACUUCCGAAAUCGCCGUCUUUUUGCGAGACGUGUUUUGCGGAAGAUCACUGUUGUUCUGAUAGCUGCCCACAAAUAACUCGUCGCUCAGUCCAGUCCAGUGCCAGACAGCAAUUCCAGGCGGCCGAGGGUAAAAUGUUUUCACUCUUUCUUUCUCUCUCUCUCUCACGCAGAUACACGCACUGUUAAUUAAGAAGAUGGAAUCAGGCAAGGAUUUGGUUAUGGCGAUUCAUUCGUAUGCGUAUGCGCUAUUAAUUGAAACAAAAGAAGAAGAUGGUGUAGCUGGUUAGGUUGCGAGCAUUGAAUUGAAUUUGUUUAGUAAUCUGAAGAUAAUAAUAAGGUAAUGAUGAAACGACACUGUUGAACAAUCGUUUCUGGCUGCUGUUGAUAUUGUUGUUGUUGUUGAUGGAGAGAAAGAAUCGAAUCACAUUUAUGAGAUUAGAGUCUUCUGUC